GAACGAUUAUAAAGAUUGUUACUUGUUGACCUGAAGAAAAAUAUGUACGGAUUCGGCUUCUGAGAU
Molecule: small nucleolar RNA, 66 nt
Filed under: Aotus nancymaae (Ma's night monkey)
Lineage: Eukaryota; Metazoa; Chordata; Mammalia; Primates; Aotidae
Description: Small nucleolar RNA SNORD50 (ENSANAG00000008442.1)
Source: RNAcentral